This 227-nucleotide ribosomal RNA is filed under the name uncultured bacterium. Its description in RNAcentral is "partial 16S ribosomal RNA". It matches the Rfam family "Bacterial small subunit ribosomal RNA", at positions 551 to 776 of the family's 1533-position model. The record is from RNAcentral.
UUAUUGGGCGUAAAGAGCUCGUAGGCGUUUCAGUAAGGCGGGUGUGAAAACUCUGGGCUCAACCCAGAGACGACACCCGAUACUGCUGUGACUUGAGUACGGUAGGGGAGUGGGGAAUUCCUGGUGUAGCGGUGAAAUGCGCAGAUAUCAGGAGGAACACCAGUGGCGAAGGCGCCACUCUGGGCCGUAACUGACGCUGAGGAGCGAAAGCGUGGGUAGCAAACAGG